UUCAUUCCGUGACUGGCGGAAAUGGUUACUCUGCCAAAAAAGAAAAAAAAAGAAAUGAUUGCAGUAGUGUUUGUUCAUAAACUUCAGCAUAUGGACUCAGAAAACAAAUUUCUAUGAAAGUCUAGAAUAUGCAAUUGCUUCCAGCACGUCCACGUAUAAAAUCACCUGAAAGCAUAGAUAUGCUUUUGUGACCAAUUCUUCUGAUGUUUCACAUAUUGCCUAUUUAACUAGACCCUAUAUGUACCAGUUCAGGUAACCACCAUGUAGACAUCCUUUCAGUUCAUGUCUAUGCUUAUACUAGAAUCCCUUUAUAUGCAAUUCAUGUUUGAACAGAGACAGGAAAAUAUAUUCAUCUCUUAUAUCUCAUACUAAUCAGCAUAAGCAGCAAGACCAUAUUCUUGAUAUAGCUGAUAUUGUCUAGUGGCUGAUAUAUUAAGUAAUACAUAUUCUUUCCUUUUGUUUAAGAACCUUCUAGUAAUCAUAAGUGUCUGGAGGGUUUCCAUCUCAAGAAAUGACCAAAUACUUUUUCCUGCCACCAAUUGUUUCUCACCACCAUCAAACUUUUUUGAGGGCUUAAAAAGUAAAUUUUUUCAUUUCAAUUUUUGUACAUCACAUGUUCUUCUUUUCAAUCAUAGGAUUUAUGUUCUAGAGUUUCAUAUAUUAUCAUUUCCUUUAUCACUCAAUGUGUGAGAAUAAAAUACUUCAUGCUUUUAAUUGCUUAAGUUAGAUUAACUUGCUAUGUUACAUAAAUCAUCUGUUCAUACAAAAGAUGACACUCAUGUCUCAUUUCAAUUAAUAGUAAAUUCAGUCAAAGAAUUGAUGUGAACUUGGACAAAAUCUGGGUUACCUUAUUUCCUUUAUCAUGAAGGUAUCCUCAGUGAAUGAUGACAAACACAAUACUCAACAAUUUGAUAUUAAUGGAGCUAGUACAUUAGUCAGAAAUGAUUUCACUUGCUGCAUUAGUA
Molecule: long non-coding RNA, 965 nt
Filed under: Phoenix dactylifera (date palm)
Lineage: Eukaryota; Viridiplantae; Streptophyta; Magnoliopsida; Arecales; Arecaceae
Description: long non-coding RNA (PDAC_LNC016733)
Source: RNAcentral